GCAGACACAUUCCAGCCAAUCAGCAGCAGACCCUCCCUCCCAGACCCUCCCACCUCCUGGACAGCAUUCAUUUUUCAUUCAUUGUGAAGCUGCAUUCUUAGUGAGCUGUCCAGGAGGUGGGAGGGUCUGGGAGGGAGGGUCUGCUGCUGAUUGGCUGGAAUGUGUCUG
RNAcentral lists this microRNA precursor (168 nucleotides) under Pelobates cultripes (western spadefoot toad). Lineage: Eukaryota; Metazoa; Chordata; Amphibia; Anura; Pelobatidae. The record is from RNAcentral.